UGGGGAAUUUUGGACAGUGGGCGAAAGCCUGAUCCAGCAAUGCCGCGUGUGUGAAGAAGGCCUUCGGGUUGUAAAGCACUUUUGUCCGGAAAGAAAUCCUUGGCUCUAAUACAGUCGGGGGAUGACGGUACCGGAAGAAUAAGCACCGGCUAACUACGUGCCAGCAGCCGCGGUAAUACGUAGGGUGCAAGCGUUAAUCGGAAUUACUGGGCGUAAAGCGUGCGCAGGCGGUUUGCUAAGACCGAUGUGAAAUCCCCGGGCUCAACCUGGGAACUGCAUUGGUGACUGGCAGGCUAGAGUAUGGCAGAGGGGGGUAGAAUUCCACGUGUAGCAGUGAAAUGCGUAGAGAUGUGGAGGAAUACCGAUGGCGAAGGCAGCCCCCUGGGCCAAUACUGACGCUCAUGCACGAAAGCGUGGGGAGCAAACAGGAUUAGAUACCCUGGUAGUCCACGCCCUAAACGAUGUCAACUAGUUGUUGGGGAUUCAUUUCCUUAGUAACGUAGCUAACGCGUGAAGUUGACCGCCUGGGGAGUACGGUCGCAAGAUUAAAACUCAAAGGAAUUGACGGGGUCAUAGCUGUUUCCU
RNAcentral lists this ribosomal RNA (585 nucleotides) under uncultured bacterium. RNAcentral's name for it is "partial 16S ribosomal RNA". It matches the Rfam family "Bacterial small subunit ribosomal RNA", at positions 355 to 1375 of the family's 1533-position model. The record is from RNAcentral.